RNAcentral lists this unclassified non-coding RNA (357 nucleotides) under uncultured Oidiodendron. RNAcentral describes it as "sequence contains ITS2". The stretch from base 1 to 154 matches the Rfam family "5.8S ribosomal RNA". The record is from RNAcentral. Lineage: Eukaryota; Fungi; Ascomycota; Leotiomycetes; Myxotrichaceae.
AACUUUUAGCAAUGGAUCUCUUGGUUCUGGCAUCGAUGAAGAACCCAGCGAAAUGCGAUAAGUAAUGCGAAUUGCAGAAUUCAGUGAGUCAUCGAAUCUUUGAACGCACAUUGCGCCCUGUGGUAUUCCGCAGGGCAUGCCUGUUCGAGCGUCAUUUCAACCCUCAAGCUCUGCUUGGUGUUGGGCCACGCCCCCGCGGCCGGCCCCAAAGCCAGUGGCGGUACCGCCCGGCUCUAAGCGUAGUACACCUCUCGCUCUAGAGCCCGGCGGUUCCCUGCCAGAACCUACACUCUUAUGGUUGACCUCGGAUCAGGUAGGGAUACCCGCUGAACUUAAGCAUAUCAAUAAGCGGAGGCU